ACUUCAUCUUGCAACAGAUUCAAAAGUUAUCCAGUUAUUUGUCUUGUAGACUGGGUGAGAGUCUUCCAGAGGGAGCACCACCCACCACUGAAGCAGGCACACUUUCAAAAGAAAGACCAGACCUUUGAACAGGAGGAGUUCAGCUGCAGGAGUUGAAGCAUUUUAUUUUCUCCAGAAAAAAAACCUGGUAGUUUCAAUAGCAUCCAGCUAUUGAAACUUCCAGCUCUCUGCAAGUGUAAUCAAAAUGGUUAAUCUGCCUUUGACAUAAUAGCAUGGAGCUUAUUUUGGAUUCCUCAGUAAGGAGGGCUCGGGUGAGGCAGUGAAACCAAGGCUUCCCCUUUCUUGUGAGUAAAGCACAUCCAGUAUGCUGGGUGAACAGAGAGAAUAGUGGUGAGAAAAUGGUAAAAGAUUUUCUGGUUUUAGCCGUUCACAAGGGGAUAUACUAUGUAUUUGGGAAUGACAAAAAAUCUUCUCUACCUGUCUUGAUUGAUAUUGGAUGUAUUGGUACAAAUUUAUGAAUAAUAAAUUCACUGUAAUAAGCUGCUAGAAAUUCAUAAAAGCUACUGGUUCCUGUAUCCUUUUAUCUGGGUUUACUUGGAAUUGUAGUAUUUUUUAUAAUUAAUAAAAGCCUGAGUCAAACAA
Agelaius phoeniceus (red-winged blackbird) is the source of this 642-nucleotide long non-coding RNA. RefSeq lists it as uncharacterized. The record is from RefSeq and is a predicted model, not a curated record. NCBI's taxonomy places the organism in Eukaryota, Metazoa, Chordata, Aves, Passeriformes, Icteridae.